AAUACGUGCAAGGUGUACAUCGCAGAAGUGGAUUUUAAGAGAAGAAAACAAGAUUUUAUAAUUAUAAUAAACCGAAGUGAUUUUGGGCUAUGUGAUAAAGUGUGUGAAAGGAGAGGACUCUUUUUCUGGACACAAUGACUGAGGAGCUCUUCUGUAAAGUUGUCUCUAUUGUAAUUAAGUGCAAGGAUUGUGAAGACAGAAGGGCUGGUGUACGGCUUACUGUUGAAACACAUUCUUCCUCAAACCCUAUACAUAAAAAGGAUUUAGUUGUUAGACUGUCUGAUGAUACGGAUCCAUUUUUUCUGUAUAAUCUCACUCUAGGGGAGGAAGACUUUCAAAGGUAAAUUCCAAUAUAUCUUAAAAUAAUUGCAUUUUCUUGUGAUAGCUCGCAAUCCAUACUUAAAUAAAUCUGUUUAACAGCAGCUGUGCCACAAUUGUGUGGUCCUUUAACACUGCAGAUGCCUAAUUUGCUAAUUUUAUUUUAUUAGCAUUGUCAAGACCUGUAUUAAAAUGUAAUCCAUUAACAUGCUUGCUUUGCAGACCAUUAC
Long non-coding RNA from Bombina bombina (fire-bellied toad), 548 nucleotides. RefSeq lists it as uncharacterized. Lineage: Eukaryota; Metazoa; Chordata; Amphibia; Anura; Bombinatoridae. The record is from RefSeq and is a predicted model, not a curated record. The transcript has 3 exons.